This 433-nucleotide ribosomal RNA is filed under the name uncultured bacterium. RNAcentral's name for it is "bacterial SSU rRNA". It matches the Rfam family "Bacterial small subunit ribosomal RNA", at positions 28 to 456 of the family's 1533-position model. The record is from RNAcentral.
GACGAACGCUGGCGGCGCGCCUAACACAUGCAAGUCGAACGAGCGAGAGAGAGCUUGCUUUCUCGAGCGAGUGGCGAACGGGUGAGUAACGCGUGAGGAACCUGCCUCAAAGAGGGGGACAACAGUUGGAAACGACUGCUAAUACCGCAUAAGCCCACGGUGCCGCAUGGCACAGAGGGAAAAGGAGCAAUCCGCUUUGAGAUGGCCUCGCGUCCGAUUAGCUAGUUGGUGAGGUAAUGGUCCACCAAGGCGACGAUCGGUAGCCGGACUGAGAGGUUGAACGGCCACAUUGGGACUGAGACACGGCCCAGACUCCUACGGGAGGCAGCAGUGGGGAAUAUUGCACAAUGGGGGAAACCCUGAUGCAGCGACGCCGCGUGGAGGAAGAAGGUCUUCGGAUUGUAAACUCCUGUUGUUGGGGAAGAUAAUGACG